AGGUCCACGGACACGUCAAUCUUGUGGCUGUCGAAGCCAGCCUCGUCCCAAUACUGGUGCACUAGCGGCAAGGUGCCCUCCGGCAUGGGUUCCAAAGUGGGCAUCCAGGUAUGCGCGUAGCCCAUUCGAUCGUAGCGCAGCAGCGCGCGCAUGGCCUUGGUGAAGGGCAUGCCGGUGAGGCCCUCGAUCACUUCGGUGAGCAGCAGGUAGUUCGCGUCGGUGUAGGCGUAGUGCGCUCCCCGGCUCGGCC
RNAcentral lists this ribosomal RNA (250 nucleotides) under uncultured archaeon. RNAcentral's name for it is "partial 16S ribosomal RNA". The record is from RNAcentral.